This 162-nucleotide unclassified non-coding RNA is filed under the name soil metagenome. RNAcentral describes it as "partial internal transcribed spacer 1". The record is from RNAcentral.
CAGAGUUGCAAGACUCCCUAAACCAUUGUGAACCUACCUUCUACCGUUGCUUUCGGCGGGGCGGGCCCAGCGCCCCCCCGGCCCCCCCGCGGGCGCCCGCCGGAGGAUACCCAAAACUCUUGACAUUAGUGCCUCUCUGAGUAUUCUUUACUGAAUAAGUCA